GACGAACGCUGGCGGCGUGCUUAACACAUGCAAGUCGAGCGGUAAGGCCCUUUCGGGGGUACACGAGCGGCGAACGGGUGAGUAACACGUGGGUGACCUGCCUUUAGCUCUGGGAUAAGCCUGGGAAACUGGGUCUAAAUACCGGAUAUGACUCCGCGGUGCAUGCUGUGGGGUGAAAGCCUUGUGCGGCUGGAGAUGGGCCCGCGGCCUAUCAGCUUGUUGGUGGGGUGAUGGCCUACCAAGGCGACGACGGGUAGCCGGCCUGAGAGGGCG
This 273-nucleotide ribosomal RNA is filed under the name uncultured bacterium. RNAcentral describes it as "partial 16S ribosomal RNA". It matches the Rfam family "Bacterial small subunit ribosomal RNA", at positions 28 to 302 of the family's 1533-position model. The record is from RNAcentral.